GUUGGCGGGUAGACUGUGGAGGCAUUGCUCCUCGAGGGUCGUCGCAAGGCAAAGGAAAACGCGCAGCUCAAAAUUUGGAUUCGUGGAAAUAUUGCAAGAACUAAUUUUAACUACACGUCGUCUGUUCGGAUGUCCCAAUGUUUGUAAUUCGAAUGUUUGUAAGUAGGGUGGUGUCUCUUCAUAACUUCUUGUGCCGCUGCAGCUGGGCGAGACGGAGCUAAUUACAGUCCACUGGAAACACUUUUGCCUUUACCUGCGACAGCAACACUGAAGGAGACUGAAAGGGAAACAGGUGACAGAUGGUUUUAAUUACUUCCCUCGACAACAACACGCCGAAGCCUGUCUGUGUUUUAAACGAUUGCUUGCAGCACGAAAUUUUGAACAUCAGGAACAGAGCUUUUCAGGUCUUGACGGCAAGAAGGAAGAGGAUGGAAUUGUGAGUGUCGGCUUCUGAGGACAAACAAGGAAGGACAGGACAGAGAAGUUCGUCGAAUUUGUCGUCAAGGCAGAGAAAUAGAAGUGGCCUGUUGACAGGGAGCUACAAUGAAGCAUCGGUGCAAUCGCUGGGCUACACGUCGUUGUGCCAAAUUAUACUCUGUGGUCAGGGCUAUUGGUUUGGUACUGUGCAUCACGGUCGUCGGGUUCUUCAUCCCACCUGCAAGAAAUGCCCUGACUCCCUUCUGGCCGCGCACCUGGCGUGACAUGUCCACCUUUCACGUGAUCAAGAUGCAUCUCGUGCCGAGGCUCCCGAGCGCUCCAGUCGGUCCUGUCUACUGCCCGGCAACGGAGUUCAAACCUUCCCCACCCAUUAGCCAUGCAUCUGAUGCAUUCAGUUCUGGCACCGAGGACGGAGCAAGCUACACGACCCUUGUCCCGUAUGCGCUGAAAGGUCGAGCACAAGACGAACAAUUGCUCACGCAUGCGCACCAGUGGGUGAACGCCUCCCCCAAACGCAAGGCUCGCUACUUCCGCUUUCUCCCCCUGAUGACCGUCUUCGACAAGGCGCGGCUGCUGUGCACGUGGCGCGUGUUUGACAACGCUGUCCGAGCUGCCAACCUGUCUUACUUUCUGGUGGAGGGCAGCCUGCUGGGAGCCUAUCGCCAUCGCGGCAUGAUUCCCUGGGAUGACGACAUCGACGUUGCCAUGGAUGGGCAGGAGCUGAACAAGAUCCGCCAAGUCUUGUCCUGCAUCCCUGGCUACUCCCUCCGCGUUCAGGACAACAUGCUAUGGAAAUUUUACCCCACCAACACCUCUAGUAUUCCCAGCGUCUGUCCUGAAAACUUUACCGCCAGCGGUUGUAAUCACAAAGGAUUGUGACACGAGAAUCGUCUACACCAACGACACCAGCAACACUAUCCAUUUCCUUUCAUUGACAUCUUCCUCUACACCGGUGACGGCACAUACACCUGGUCCCUCGCCCGCUUCACGAUUCCCACCCAGGCUGUGAGAAGUACUUUUCUCUUUCCUUUGACAACGACGUCCUUUGAAGGAUUCACUGUCCCCGUGCCCAGGCGCACGAAGGAGAUCCUUGCUCUCGUGUAUGAUCUUGAUAUUUGUUUGUCUCCUUUCCACAACCACCGGAUAGGUCGCGGCAUAUCAGCAGUGAAAUAUCUCGAGCGGAAUGCCGGGAGUUGAAAGACAUGUAUCCUAUGUACAAUGUGGUGUGAAGUUUUCGUUCACUGAGACAUGGCUGCCCAAUAGUUAGGGUAGAUUAUUUGCGUGAGUAGUAUUCAAAGUGUACUAAGAUGGUCAGAGUAGAUGUGGCACUGUGGCUUUUGCCUUCUACUUCGGAAGCGAGGCUUAUUAAUUCGCAACCCAGUCGGGUAAACGAAAACUUCCUUCAGCGUUGACGAAUACUUUGUUUAGUAUAACAACUAGAGUUAGCAGAAGAAGUGAAUACCAUGUCAUGGAGCCUGUGAACUAUUUGCAUACCUCCACUCCCACCCAGGGCCGCCGAGAG
RNA transcript from Pomacea canaliculata, 1960 nucleotides. RefSeq lists it as uncharacterized. The transcript is spliced from 4 exons. Lineage: Eukaryota; Metazoa; Mollusca; Gastropoda; Architaenioglossa; Ampullariidae. The record is from RefSeq and is a predicted model, not a curated record.